RNAcentral lists this ribosomal RNA (468 nucleotides) under uncultured bacterium. RNAcentral describes it as "partial 16S ribosomal RNA". It matches the Rfam family "Bacterial small subunit ribosomal RNA", at positions 28 to 523 of the family's 1533-position model. The record is from RNAcentral.
GAUGAACGCUGGCGGCGUGCCUAACACAUGCAAGUCGAGCGAUUUACUUCGGUAAAGAGCGGCGGACGGGUGAGUAACGCGUGGGUAACAUGCCCUGUACACACGGAUAACAUACCGAAAGGUAUGCUAAUACGAGAUAAUAUACUUUUAUCGCAUGGUAGAAGUAUCAAAGCUUUUGCGGUACAGGAUGGACCCGCGUCUGAUUAGCUAGUUGGUAAGGUAACGGCUUUCCAAGGCGACGAUCAGUAGCCGACCUGAGAGGGUGAUCGGCCACAUUGGGACUGAGACACGGUCCAAACUCCUACGGGAGGCAGCAGUGGGGAAUAUUGCACAAUGGGCGAAAGCCUGAUGCAGCAACGCCGCGUGAGCGAUGAAGGCCUUCGGGUCGUAAAGCUCUGUCCUCAAGGAAGAUAAUGACGGUACUUGAGGAGGAAGCCCCGGCUAACUACGUGCCAGCCGCCGCCGUAA